RNAcentral lists this ribosomal RNA (497 nucleotides) under uncultured bacterium. RNAcentral describes it as "partial 16S ribosomal RNA". It matches the Rfam family "Bacterial small subunit ribosomal RNA", at positions 28 to 507 of the family's 1533-position model. The record is from RNAcentral.
GAUGAACGCUGGCGGCGUGCCUAAUACAUGCAAGUCGAGCGAACAGACGAGGAGCUUGCUCCUCUGACGUUAGCGGCGGACGGGUGAGUAACACGUGGUUAACCUACCUAUAAGACUGGGAUAACUUCGGGAAACCGGAGCUAAUACCGGAUAGUAUAUUGAACCGCAUGGUUCAAUAGUGAAAGACGGUUUUGCUGUCACUUAUAGAUGGAUCCGCGCCGCAUUAGCUAGUUGGUAAGGUAACGGCUUACCAAGGCAACGAUGCGUAGCCGACCUGAGAGGGUGAUCGGCCACACUGGAACUGAGACACGGUCCAGACUCCUACGGGAGGCAGCAGUAGGGAAUCUUCCGCAAUGGGCGAAAGCCUGACGGAGCAACGCCGCGUGAGUGAUGAAGGUCUUCGGAUCGUAAAACUCUGUUAUUAGGGAAGAACAAAUGUGUAAGUAACUAUGCACGUCUUGACGGUACCUAAUCAGAAAGCCACGGCUAACUACGUG